This 702-nucleotide ribosomal RNA is filed under the name Triticum aestivum (bread wheat). RNAcentral describes it as "partial small subunit ribosomal RNA". Lineage: Eukaryota; Viridiplantae; Streptophyta; Magnoliopsida; Poales; Poaceae. The record is from RNAcentral.
AUGGAUAAAAAGAUCGAAGUGCGCACGGAGUCGAAGGAAGGUAUGCUUUGCAGUAUCAGUUGUUCUUGCCGCAAAUUGGAAUGCGCAGGCACACCAUGUUCCCACAUAUUUUACAUAUUGGGAAUUUUACAAGAAGAAACACUGCCCAGGUGUUGUGUUCCCACUAGGUGGACAAUGAGUGCAAAAUGUGCAUUCGCACCGACCAGAAAGAGCGAGAUGUAUGCAUACUCUGCAGCCCUACAAAGGUACCGUAAGCUAAGGAAUUUUAGUCACGCAGCAUGUUUCAAGGAAUGCCACUUUGAUGAGGCGUUUGAGCAUCUAAAAAGGGUUUUGGAAGGACAAGAUGUUUGCAAGGGAUCAACAAGUGAACAAGCUGAUAGCAAGGGAUCAACUAAUGCUCAGGGUAACAGCAUUAGGUUUGGCCCGUUGAUGCCACAAUCGGCUAACCUUGAUGGUGAAGGUUUCGAAAAGGUUCUGGAUCCCGUGCAUGUGCCAGGCCGAGGUGCUCCGAAGAAAAGGCUACAGGCAAAGAUGAAGAAAACCAGAACAAAGGGUAGAUGUAGCUAUUGUCAUGAGGCAGAUGGUCACAAUCGACGAUCUCAAAGCAGAACUAUGAUAGCUACAACAUUGUGCGCACGGUCGGACAUCAAGUACGUCGACGAUCAACCUGAUGUUGGCGUGUGCAUUGUCAUCUAUGUCUAG